RNAcentral lists this long non-coding RNA (304 nucleotides) under Setaria viridis. RNAcentral describes it as "long non-coding RNA (SVIR_LNC006645)". The record is from RNAcentral. Lineage: Eukaryota; Viridiplantae; Streptophyta; Magnoliopsida; Poales; Poaceae.
AUGACCUAAGCACAACACAAUGAAAGGUCCAACAGUACACAACAUUAUCCAUGAAUAAACCAUGGACACACUAUGAAAGGUUCAACCACACACAAUGAAGUACUAGCCAAUAACAGAGCCUACCGAGUACAACGAGGCCACUUUCCCUUCCUUAGGGCAUCGGGGUUCUCCUCGGUCGCUGCUUUCGCUCGGCGUGCACGCUCAAGCUUCCUCUCCCUCUUCUCCCUCUCCGCAGCAAGACUUCUCCUUUCCUCCUCUUCCUUGUGUUCCUUCUCUGCAGCCUCCUCUCUGAGCCUCUUCUUCA